AGCGAACGCUGGCGGCAGGCUUAACACAUGCAAGUCGAGCGGGCAUCCUUGUGGUGUCAGCGGCAGACGGGUGAGUAACGCGUGGGAACGUGCCCUUCGGUUCGGAAUAACUCAGGGAAACUUGAGCUAAUACCGGAUACGUGCGAGAGCAGAAAGGUUUAUCUGCCGAAGGAUCGGCCCGCGUCUGAUUAGCUAGUUGGUGAGGUUACGGCUCACCAAGGCGACGAUCAGUAGCUGGUUUGAGAGGAUGAUCAGCCACACUGGGACUGAGACACGGCCCAGCCUCAUACGGGAGGAGGCGGGGGGGAAUAUUGAAAAAGGGGGGCACCCCUGACCCGGCCGGGCGGGGGGAGGGAUGCCGGCUUUGGGGUUGAAAAGCUCUUUUCCCCGGGACGAUAAUGAGGGUACCGGAGAAAAAAGCCCCGGCAAACUUCGUG
Molecule: ribosomal RNA, 437 nt
Filed under: uncultured bacterium
Lineage: Bacteria
Description: partial 16S ribosomal RNA
Rfam family: Bacterial small subunit ribosomal RNA
Source: RNAcentral